ACGGUCGUAGCCCCUCAAUGUACAAGAUGGAAACAACAAAAUCAUUCUAAUACAUGGCUGUAACCCCCUCAGUGUAUAGGAAUUAAAAUACAUGACUCUAGUACACAGUCGUAGCCUCUUAGUGUACAAGAUGGAAACAACAUAAUCAUCCUUUUACACGGCUGUAACCCCUCAGUGUAUCGGAGUUAAAAUACAUAACUCUAGUACACUGCCAUAGCCCCUCAGUGCACUAGAGUAAGAUAAUUACAUCAAUUAUUUUCUGAUAAUUUCAAAACAAUCAUGCUCAUUUACUAAUUUCUCGAAAAUAAGGCAUUUCAUGUAACUAAUAUGCUUCUAUAAAAUAAAAAGAAAAUCUUCUUUUUGGAAAAGUAGGUUCUCCACUUACAGAACUAUGUAUGAAAACUUGAUUUAAUUGACGAGCCUUUCUAAACUUUCACGUCUCUACCCGAAACAACGGUAUAAUUUCUCAAAU
Molecule: long non-coding RNA, 472 nt
Filed under: Olea europaea subsp. europaea
Lineage: Eukaryota; Viridiplantae; Streptophyta; Magnoliopsida; Lamiales; Oleaceae
Source: RNAcentral